Molecule: ribosomal RNA, 432 nt
Filed under: uncultured bacterium
Lineage: Bacteria
Description: partial 16S ribosomal RNA
Rfam family: Bacterial small subunit ribosomal RNA
Source: RNAcentral
AGCGAACGCUGGCGGCAGGCCUAACACAUGCAAGUCGAACGAACUCUUCGGAGUUAGUGGCGGACGGGUGAGUAACACGUGGGAACGUGCCUUUAGGUUCGGAAUAACUCAGGGAAACUUGUGCUAAUACCGAAUGUGCCCUUCGGGGGAAAGAUUUAUCGCCUUUAGAGCGGCCCGCGUCUGAUUAGCUAGUUGGUGAGGUAAAGGCUCACCAAGGCGACGAUCAGUAGCUGGUCUGAGAGGAUGAUCAGCCACAUUGGGACUGAGACACGGCCCAAACUCCUACGGGAGGCAGCAGUGGGGAAUCUUGCGCAAUGGGCGAAAGCCUGACGCAGCCAUGCCGCGGGAAUGAUGAAGGUCUUAGGAUGGUAAAAUUCUUUCACCGGGGACGAUAAUGACGGUACCCGGAGAAGAAGCCCCGGCUAACUUCGU